RNAcentral lists this long non-coding RNA (502 nucleotides) under Coturnix japonica (Japanese quail). Its description in RNAcentral is "lncRNA (ENSCJPG00005001346.1)". The record is from RNAcentral. Lineage: Eukaryota; Metazoa; Chordata; Aves; Galliformes; Phasianidae.
AGCGGGACAAAGUGACGGCGCAAGAUGGCGUCGGAGCGGCCACAAGAUGGCGUCGUUGCCUUUCGGCGGGGACGCGCGGCCAUGUUGGCACUCGCCGCAGCCGCUCUGCCUCGCGGCCCCGUCCAGCAUGACUGUCACAGAAAGAAAAAGUACUGCUGAGGAGGCUGAUAGCCAUCAGGAGCAAGGAAGGAGAUGCUGAUUCACCGAUGGAGUGAUGUUCUCCCAGGCAGGAAAGGAUUAAAUAGAGACAACAGACUCAAAGGUACUGUUCCUCAAGCUCAAGCUCUUCCGAUCCUGUCUGCCCAUCUGCCAGCAUCCGUAACCUUUCUGUACAGUUGUAAUUGUACAGCUGUAAAGUGGACAAGUGACCAGAGGUUAUGCAGAAGAUAAACAACAAACACUCACUGAUGUUGAAGCUCACAGUAAGGACAGAUGCUCAACAAUAUCAAGGCUCCCUGCAAAACUUCACAUGGAAGCAACAUCUCCAAUAUCAAGUAAGCCC